Aegilops tauschii subsp. strangulata is the source of this 2032-nucleotide long non-coding RNA. RefSeq lists it as uncharacterized. The record is from RefSeq and is a predicted model, not a curated record. NCBI's taxonomy places the organism in Eukaryota, Viridiplantae, Streptophyta, Magnoliopsida, Poales, Poaceae.
CACCGCUUUUCCUGCUGCUUCUAGACUUUGCUACCGUGUUGUGUUUGUGUUCGUAGUUGGAGCGCUGCGAUCGUUCGUGAUGUCGCUUAGUCGGUUUGUCUGCCGCUUAUCGUUGUUUUCGACGUUGUUGGGCUUCUAUAAAUACAGAGCUCAGUUCUUGACGGAAGGCCAAGCCGAUCAAGGCCGGCAGCGACUUCGAGUGCCUCUUCUCCCCCUACGCUGAUGCUGGGCCGCCCUCGCUCCUCUCCGUCGGCCUGCCCGCGGCGGCCGCGGAGACCGCGAGCUCGCAACCUUCCAAUCUGCCGGGCCCCGCCAUCCGGUGUCACGUCGUCGCCAUCUCGAUCUCACAUUCGCCCAGGCCGCCGGCGCCUUUUCUUCCAUCACCACCGGAGGUCUUUGCCCCGCGUCGUCGCCGUGUAGAGGUGCUACCUCGCCUAAGCCGUUGUGAGGAGGCGCCCCUGCUCCUUCCCCCUCCGCGUUGUGUCAACCACAGGAUGGUGCCCUCUCGCCUCAACGAGGUGUGCCCUUUGCUCGGGACUGCGAGUUCAUCGUCGACAACCGCGACGGGAACGUGCAGUACAACCGGUACUACGGCUGCCACGCCGCCGUAGCCGCCGACCACGACCUAUACUGGACGCUGUGAACUCUACUGGGGAGCCCUCUGCUACUAUCUCCGGGAGGGCGUGCCGGACCUCGAUGAGGUAUACGGCGUGCUCGACAGGGCCUGGUCCAAGCCGCAUGAGGAGACAGCCCUCCGCGGGAUCCAACCAUUGGAGCGUCCUCGAUCUCAGGCGUCAAGUUGUGAUGAAUUUGGAAGACACACUAUUAACUUACAUAAUAGGGCGAAAAAACGCAAGCAAUGGCAAGGUAUUAACAACCUAUUUUUCUCAUGUUGCUUACUGAAGGUGAACAACAAGAUGCAUUUUAAUGGCCCUCUUGACCUGCUGUUUAUUUUAGAUUUAGGUUGGUCCAGAUUUUAUUAUUUAUAUGAAAACUGUUAAGUUUGUACUAUCAUGUUCUAACUGUUAAAAUGCUUACCAUGUCAACAGGACAAUGCAAGGUGUUGUUGUGAGUUAUCGGUUUUAGUAUUCAUUCUUUUCUGCAGCACACCAACUUUACAUGGACAUCUUACGUUUUUCUCCCAGUGUUUGAUUUUGAAAGCUUACUUUUCUCUCCCAGUUUAUAUUUUUGAGAGGAAAAAACUUACUUUAUGAAUCAAAAUUUGUAUCACUGUACCUUUUCUUCUUUGUGUGAUGUGUUCCCAUCUCACUAGCUAUGUUUCUCUGUGUUGUAUAUUUGUUUUUCCUUUGAAUGUUAUGAGACAAUGACCAGUCUAAAAGAUAAGUGAAAUGUGUCUACUUUUGCCUGGCUUCUGGCUGAGAAAAUGUUUUCCAAUUGCUAUGUCAUGAAUGCAAGUUAGUCACCAGUCAGACAAAAAAAAACUGCAACAGAUGGUCGUACCUAUUGGUAUUUCUUCCUAUAUAUACAUAAACAUUGGUAUUUCCAGUUUUAUACGCAAACAUUAUCUCGAUGUAUAGCUGAAGUCUAUAUGGUCAUAAAUGACUGAUUCAGGCAUAGGUUCAUGCACAUUAUUUGCCCCAUGUUUGAACUCUAUCAUGUUAACUACUAAUAUGACACUCCCUCGGCUAAUGGUGCCUUUAUAUACUGAAACUAACAGAAAGAAGUUAUCAUUAUAGCAUGCUCUUUGUUUUAUAGAACGGCAUGGCGAGAAUAAAUGAGUCGCAAUGUGUAUUUCUCUAUGCCUCUUUUCAGUUUAUCUUUCUACAUAUAGGGUUGUCUUACCUUAAACCAGUAACAUUUGUUGUAAAUGGACACAUCGUAUCGAUAAGCAUUAGGCGCGGCAUGCCGCCGCGCGGGCUAAGCUAGUUUGCUUCUAGUGGAAGCACGGUUUUGCUUCCGAAUAAAAUAAAAAAACACAAUAUGUGCUUCCGAAAAAGAUGAAAAACUGCAACCGUGCUUCAGGGCUCUGGUUUGUUUCUUCCGUUUUUUCAUAUUUGUUUUUAUGCAUGAA